UGGGUUGGGACAAAGAAAGACUAGGAUAACCAAGGCUGAAGAUCUAGGGACCUAGUGGAACAGGGAGAUAGAUGAUUUCUUUCCCCAAAAAGGUGAGCUCCUGCCUAUUAAUUUAGGAAGCAGAGUAGGAGUUUCUGGAGAACAUUCGGGCUGUGCUGGGCUCAGUAUCCAGAGGUUACAGUGUGUCUGUAAUCAUUAGGGGCAGAGAAGCCAAGCAACUGGAUCUGGUUCCUCAGGUGAGGAUCUAGAAUCCACUUUGCCUUACCAUAUAGUCUAGGUUUGUUUGAACUCCGAAACAAUCUUUUCUCUCAUCCCCACUCCACCCCUACCCUAAUAAUUUCCAGCUGCUGGCACUGCUGUUUGAGGAAACUCAACUCCAAAGUGCUUCUGAAACUUCCCUCUGGACCCUAAGUCUAGUGCAGAUGAAAAGAGCUCAAAAGUGAUUUUCAGGAAUUGAGGAGUCCUGCAAAGAAUUCUCCAGGAUUUGGAAGAUUUUUAUGGGUUCUGCACAGACUUAUCCCUUGUACUUUCAAACCCUUCUCUUUAACUCAUUUCUACCGGGAGGGAUCAAGACUUAUUAUUAUCUGGAACUAGCGACCUGAAUUUCCUGGAUGUGUCCCCACUGGGUCUGUAAGUAUGCUACUUUGUCCAGGAUGUGAAUAUCUUUUCUUAGUACUGCUCUCCCUUCCUUCCCAGAGUUACACAGCUAAGAAGUGUCUGAGGUCACAUUUGAACUCAGGGCCUUCUGACUUCGGAGCUGAUGCUCUAUCCACUGUACAGCUAUCCUAUUCAGGUUUAGUCUGUCUAUGUGACUAUGGGUUACCUGCUCAUUUUGUUCUUAUGUCUGGGAUUUAAUGCUUUGAAGGGUCCUGUGGCAGAGGGACGGAGUCCAGAAAUGGUCCAAACUUAUAUUUUUCCCCUUUUUUCUCAGGGUAGCAGAAGGAACGAGUGAAGCAGAGAUCCUAGAUUCCAAGUCUGGCUGCCAACUUUAUUUCAGGGCAAGUGGAAGGCUUGGUUAGGUAUAUGAACCUGUAGACUCUGGCAGAAAGGAUGAGGGAAGGAGAUACAAACUUAGAAUCUAAGAAGAAAUGCCCCGAACUUAACCAUCUUCUCUUCCAGGGCCUGCUCCCUUCUUUUUUUUUUUUUUUUUUUUUUUUUGCCUGCUCCCUUCUUAUCUUGAUGAUAUCCUGCCUGGGGCCCAGCACCAUAAAGAGGCCUGGGCCAGAGGCAUGUGGCAGGGCUCAUUGAGAGUCCUUCAGCUUCCAGAAGCUCCGUGAGUCCAACUUGGGGUGAAGCCCAGGGCAGCAGUUUGAGGGUUCCACAUAAGGGGCAGUUAUUCCCCCUAACCCAUAACAAGGACCUAAGCUGUGCCUGACCUUAGCCGUCACUCUUUGUAGCAACUGCCCCUUAUUGCUGGUACUGGCAGGGAAGGCUUCCAAGGCCCAUACCGGCUCCUUGCCUUGGAUCAUGACUCAGUUGCUCUUUGGAAAUAGUUACAACAGCCUGUUGCUUCACUUGGAUUUCUGAGGUAUGAAGGAGGGAAGGAAGGGACAGAAAAAAAGACAGGAAAUGAGACUUAAUCCUUUCUGGGGAGAGUCACCAGGAAGUUCAUCUCCCAAAUCCUGCUUCGGCCUCUGCAUUGGCUCCUCAUCUAGGCUUCUUACUCAGGGCUAGUCUGGUGGAAAGAGGCUGCUCAGUGUGAUUCUUGGCUUGAGAGGUUGGGAGGAGGGGACAGGAUUAUUCUUUGACUAUAUCAAAGCCCCACACUCCCCCCCCCCCCCUCACCUAAAGUGGCCCCACUGCCUGCCUGUUUUCUUUGGCAGGUGUCCCCUUGGGUCUGCUCCUGGCCUCGCUAGCAGGGGCCAAAGGAGUUUGGGACCCCCGCCAGGAGAAGCAGAUUUCUCCCACACUGUGGGAUGCUUUGGAAGAAAUCCACACCCGCUAUGCCACUGUUCAGGACCUGUGUUCUGGGCUCUCUGGAACGGCUCUACAGGAGAGCCAGCUUACUCAGCUGAGCCUGGUGCUCAGGGAAUUAAAGCCGGAGCUGGGAGACCAGGAUGCUCAAGGGAGUUGGAGCUUCUGUAACCAGGCUUCCAAACCUGCAGGUGAACUAGAAGAGACCUUUCCCCCUGUUUUCAAGAAGCAUCUUCAAGGUGAGUUUCAGGUCUACAUCCCAGACACUAUUUCCUUGGAAUUCCUCAGCUUGUCUAUCUUUGUCUAGAAUAAAAAUAUUUCUCUUUGGCAGCAGGUACUUCAGAAACUCUGGACCUGGGAAGGAAGUCACCCCUGCCAGCAGCAGGGGCUCCUUUUGGGGGCUCCAAAAAACAGACACCUAAAAUAUGAUGGAUCCCAGAUUAAAUACCCUUGUUCUAAGGGAGAGGAAAAUGGAACUUGGUCAAAUGAAAGACUAGGAUGUAAGUCCUCCUAGUCCUGUCUCACAGGCCUCUGAUGUGGCCCUGCAGUUUAUGUUAGCUUGGGCCCACGGGCAGCUGCUUCAGGAACAUCACCGAUCCCAGAUCCAAGAGGAGCUGAGCUGGUUGGGACAGGACAAGGAAACAGCAACACAUCAGG
Sarcophilus harrisii (Tasmanian devil) is the source of this 2571-nucleotide long non-coding RNA. The record is from Ensembl. NCBI's taxonomy places the organism in Eukaryota, Metazoa, Chordata, Mammalia, Dasyuromorphia, Dasyuridae.